UCGGUUUGUUACUGGUGGUCGGCUCACUUGCUUGUGCACAACUUCCACCUGACAUUCCUAUUCGUUCGUUCGUCAAGCUUUGAUUGCCUGACCAAAUUGUGGGUUUCUUGUGCUGCCUGCCUAACAAACGGUAUUGAUUUGGCAUAUCUAAGUUCUGUUCGUCUUUCGCCAUGCCUAUGCCGCUUAGAUGAACCCUAAACAUGUUUCUUUGAGCCACAUCAUUAAUGCUUGCGUUGAUGUACUGGCCUGUUGACGCUUUCUUGGUUUCUUUGAUGUAGUGCUUGAUGUGGGCAUGGGUCUGUUAGGAUCCUUGUUAUGUCCCUGAUUAGUGUUUACGCUUCUUAAAAUGACUGCUUGACACGUCUUGGCUUGUAAUAGCGUGUUGGGCUUUGUCUAAAAGGAAUGUUACCUGGU
RNAcentral lists this unclassified non-coding RNA (414 nucleotides) under Gardnerina angustata. RNAcentral describes it as "partial contains external transcribed spacer and 18S ribosomal RNA". The record is from RNAcentral. Lineage: Eukaryota; Viridiplantae; Streptophyta; Magnoliopsida; Asterales; Asteraceae.